GUGUUCGUAGAAAGGAGGGACGGUUGGCAUCUCCCGUGACAGGGUCGGGAACAGUCUUCGGACUUUCCUCUAGCAUAGCGGUUAAGGCUACCCGCUUCGGCGGAUCUUACCCGAACUUUUUUU
This 123-nucleotide non-coding RNA is filed under the name Oryza meridionalis. The record is from RNAcentral. Lineage: Eukaryota; Viridiplantae; Streptophyta; Magnoliopsida; Poales; Poaceae.